UCAUCCGUCUACAAAUACAAUAGCCUUAAAUAGAUUAAUACAAAAUCUCGGUUCACCAAGAGAUUUAAACCAAGAACAUGGUAAAUAUCCAACAGAACCUGUAGUAGUUGUUGUAUCUACUGGCAACCCUGAUUUAAGCAGUGACGAGGAUGGUUAUGUAUUGUCUACUGAUGGCAGUGAUGCUGAUGAUGAACUAUCUACUGAUGAUGAGCUAUUGUUUAGUAGUGAUGAUGAUGAUGAUGAUCUUCCAAACAGACUUGAAGAACCCUUUAAAGGUAUCAAUAAUACUAAUCCACGUUUUAUACAGAAAGAUAUAGAUGCUGUAACUACAGUUUUAGAUUUAACCCCUACCUCACCAACAAAACCUAAAGAAUCCAGAUUACGACGAUGGAGAAGGAAAGCGGCUAAAAACUUAAAGAAACUAUUCACAUGCUGUGUUCAAACAGAUGACAUGUAUGUCUAAGAAUUCAAUAAAAACAUUAAAAUUUUGACGAAAUUAAAGAAUGAUAAUAAUAAUAAACAAAAAAGAAAAAAAAAAGAAAAAAAAAACAGAAAAAAAACCCCGAAAGGACAAACAAGUCUACAAUUUGAAAUCUAUUUGUUAUAACCGCCAUAUACAUUAUUUAUGUAAUAUUUUUAUAGAAAGUUUCAUAACGAUUAUUAAGACACCUGUAGGCUACGGGGUUAUAGAGACGCAAUUUCAGG
This is a long non-coding RNA of Patella vulgata (common limpet), 705 nucleotides long. RefSeq lists it as uncharacterized. Lineage: Eukaryota; Metazoa; Mollusca; Gastropoda; Patellidae. The transcript has 3 exons. The record is from RefSeq and is a predicted model, not a curated record.